Molecule: unclassified non-coding RNA, 279 nt
Filed under: uncultured fungus
Lineage: Eukaryota; Fungi
Description: partial contains small subunit ribosomal RNA, internal transcribed spacer 1, and 5.8S ribosomal RNA
Rfam family: Eukaryotic small subunit ribosomal RNA (bases 1-73)
Source: RNAcentral
GCAAACUUGGUCAUUUAGAGGAAGUAAAAGUCGUAACAAGGUUUCCGUAGGUGAACCUGCGGAAGGAUCAUUAACAAAAUGGAUUGUUUACCCCUACCCACCUUGUGUGCAAUUUGAGAAUAAGCCUACUUUGGAAAGAUUAUUUCUGUAGUCUUUCCAAAGAGGUCAUUAUAAUCAAUCAUUUUUUUCUUUUCUUAUUAUCUAAAAAAUACCAAUUGAAAUAAAAAAACAACUUUCAACAACGGAUCUCUUGGCUCUCGCAUCGAUGAAGAACGCAGC